UGGAUCAAUGAUGACUACUGGUGGCGUAUGAGUCGUGUACAGUGAAUGUGUUCUGGAACUCUGAGGUCCAA
This is a small nucleolar RNA of Balaenoptera musculus (blue whale), 71 nucleotides long. Lineage: Eukaryota; Metazoa; Chordata; Mammalia; Artiodactyla; Balaenopteridae. The record is from Ensembl.